AUAAUGGGUCAGCGACUUAUAUUCUGUAGCAAGGUUAACCGAAUAGGGGAGCCGAAGGGAAACCGAGUCUUAACUGGGCGUUAAGUUGCAGGGUAUAGACCCGAAACCCGGUGAUCUAGCCAUGGGCAGGUUGAAGGUUGGGUAACACUAACUGGAGGACCGAACCGACUAAUGUUGAAAAAUUAGCGGAUGACUUGUGGCUGGGGGUGAAAGGCCAAUCAAACCGGGAGAUAGCUGGUUCUCCCCGAAAGCUAUUUAGGUAGCGCCUCGUGAAUUCAUCUCCGGGGGUAGAGCACUGUUUCGGCAAGGGGGUCAUCCCGACUUACCAACCCGAUGCAAACUGCGAAUACCGGAGAAUGUUAUCACGGGAGACACACGGCGGGUGCUAACGUCCGUCGUGAAGAGGGAAACAACCCAGACCGCCAGCUAAGGUCCCAAAGUCAUGGUUAAGUGGGAAACGAUGUGGGAAGGCCCAGACAGCCAGGAUGUUGGCUUAGAAGCAGCCAUCAUUUAAAGAAAGCGUAAUAGCUCACUGGUCGAGUCGGCCUGCGCGGAAGAUGUAACGGGGCUAAACCAUGCACCGAAGCUGCGGCAGCGACGCUGAUGCGUUGUUGGGUAGGGGAGCGUUCUGUAAGCCUGCGAAGGUGUGCUGUGAGGCAUGCUGGAGGUAUCAGAAGUGCGAAUGCUGACAUAAGUAACGAUAAAGCGGGUGAAAAGCCCGCUCGCCGGAAGACCAAGGGUUCCUGUCCAACGUUAAUCGGGGCAGGGUGAGUCGACCCCUAAGGCGAGGCCGAAAGGCGUAGUCGAUGGGAAACAGGUUAAUAUUCCUGUACUUGGUGUUACUGCGAAGGGGGGACGGAGAAGGCUAUGUUGGCCGGGCGACGGUUGUCCCGGUUUAAGCGUGUAGGCUGGUUUUCCAGGCAAAUCCGGAAAAUCAAGGCUGAGGCGUGAUGACGAGGCACUACGGUGCUGAAGCAACAAAUGCCCUGCUUCCAGGAAAAGCCUCUAAGCAUCAGGUAACAUCAAAUCGUACCCCAAACCGACACAGGUGGUCAGGUAGAGAAUACCAAGGCGCUUGAGAGAACUCGGGUGAAGGAACUAGGCAAAAUGGUGCCGUAACUUCGGGAGAAGGCACGCUGAUAUGUAGGUGAAGUCCCUCGCGGAUGGAGCUGAAAUCAGUCGAAGAUACCAGCUGGCUGCAACUGUUUAUUAAAAACACAGCACUGUGCAAACACGAAAGUGGACGUAUACGGUGUGACGCCUGCCCGGUGCCGGAAGGUUAAUUGAUGGGGUCAGCGCAAGCGAAGCUCUUGAUCGAAGCCCCGGUAAACGGCGGCCGUAACUAUAACGGUCCUAAGGUAGCGAAAUUCCUUGUCGGGUAAGUUCCGACCUGCACGAAUGGCGUAAUGAUGGCCAGGCUGUCUCCACCCGAGACUCAGUGAAAUUGAACUCGCUGUGAAGAUGCAGUGUACCCGCGGCAAGACGGAAAGACCCCGUGAACCUUUACUAUAGCUUGACACUGAACAUUGAGCCUUGAUGUGUAGGAUAGGUGGGAGGCUUUGAAGUGUGGACGCCAGUCUGCAUGGAGCCGACCUUGAAAUACCACCCUUUAAUGUUUGAUGUUCUAACGUGGACCCGUAAUCCGGGUUGCGGACAGUGUCUGGUGGGUAGUUUGACUGGGGCGGUCUCCUCCUAAAGAGUAACGGAGGAGCACGAAGGUUGGCUAAUCCUGGUCGGACAUCAGGAGGUUAGUGCAAUGGCAUAAGCCAGCUUGACUGCGAGCGUGACGGCGCGAGCAGGUGCGAAAGCAGGUCAUAGUGAUCCGGUGGUUCUGAAUGGAAGGGCCAUCGCUCAACGGAUAAAAGGUACUCCGGGGAUAACAGGCUGAUACCGCCCAAGAGUUCAUAUCGACGGCGGUGUUUGGCACCUCGAUGUCGGCUCAUCACAUCCUGGGGCUGAAGUAGGUCCCAAGGGUAUGGCUGUUCGCCAUUUAAAGUGGUACGCGAGCUGGGUUUAGAACGUCGUGAGACAGUUCGGUCCCUA
RNAcentral lists this ribosomal RNA (2043 nucleotides) under Escherichia coli. RNAcentral describes it as "partial 23S ribosomal RNA". It matches the Rfam family "Bacterial large subunit ribosomal RNA", at positions 612 to 2640 of the family's 2925-position model. Lineage: Bacteria; Pseudomonadati; Pseudomonadota; Gammaproteobacteria; Enterobacterales; Enterobacteriaceae. The record is from RNAcentral.